Long non-coding RNA from Cyanistes caeruleus (blue tit), 1408 nucleotides. The record is from Ensembl. NCBI's taxonomy places the organism in Eukaryota, Metazoa, Chordata, Aves, Passeriformes, Paridae.
AUGAUUUCUAGUUCAUAGCUGUAUCUUAGUUAUUUGCAUGUGCUGUGCUACAGUGGAUUCUACUUGCUUAAAACCCUUGUCAGGGAAGAAACAUUUUUCUGGCUUUUAUUUGCAAUGAAAGCUGUUCCCUAGAGCCAUGUCAGCUGCAGAAAUCCAGACCCCAGCACAAGUGUCUGCAUUAAAAACUGGGCUUUGGGCUCCAUUAAAAUACUGUGACUGUACAUGUCACAAACAGACAGGCAGUGCAGUAGCACAGGCACUUGAAUGAUCCUGCUUUGAAACCAAGAGGCUUUUGAAACUAUGGGGCUUUUGAAACUGGGAUUGCAACCCCAGAGAAAAGAAACAGCUAUCUCCUCUCUUUGCUUCUUCCAGCCUCUGUCAGCUUCUGGCUUUAAAUUUUCUCUCAAGUUAUGCACUUGUCUCUUGGUAAUCUUCCCCCAUAUUUUAAUUGGGGAUGGCAGGUAAGGCAUAAGGUCAAAGAACCAGAAAUGGCCUUGUAAAACUGAGUCAAUGGAGCCAGAAAGAUGGGCCUCCAGUUAAAACUGGUGAUAGUAUCUGCUGAAUUUUUGGGAAUGUUUGCAAACUCGUGAUUAGAUCAAGCGAAAUUACAUAAAAACUUAUGACCUUUGAAUAAAACAGGGCUGGAGGACUCUGAGAAGAGAAUGGCAGGGUUCCAGUAAGAGAGACAUGCAUCAUGACAGUUUAGUCCACACUGUGUAGGCAGCAAGGCAUGCUGAUGGGUUAAUGCAUCUUUUUCACAUUUAAGAGGAAAGUACAUGUCCUCUUCCUUUUUGUACAAAAUGUUUCAUGUGUUUAUGUGUGUGUAUGCAUGGCACUCUCAUACAUAGGUGGGGUGCAUUCUCUUCAUUGACUCUAAGACAAGGGUUGCAACCUGCUCACUCUGGCCAGUUUUUAAAGAUGGCACAUUGCCAUGAUGUAGGAGGGCCUUCAUUUCUGUAUUUCUGUAGCAAACACUGUGGCCACCACUUGUUUAAUAUUAAGUCUGUUUUCCCUCAAUUCCUUCUGGAGGAGGAAGAUUGGAGCAGAGUGUUUGGGCAGUUUUGCUGCUCUGUUGUGGUGUGGCAGCAGGAGUAUCUGUUGCUAGGGGAUGCUGGCUCCAAGGGAACUUUUGAAGUGGAAGGGUUUAGGGUUUAUUAUGAGGUCACAGUUCCUGGGGGAAUUAAUUCAUCAGAUCAGCUGAUGAGAAAUGCUGUCCUCUGCCCUGGCAGAGGGUUUGCUGUAGGGACGUGCUCCCCGGAGUGUCAUCCCCAGUGCUGCAGGAUGCAGAGGUUGUGUGGGGUGCGCUGAUCUCCGUGAGAGCUGGAUGCCAUCCACACCUCUGAGGCUGGACCCUGUAUCUUGUGAAAACAAGAAUGAUUUGUUGCCAUUAAAUUCUGCUUUAACCACG